Manis javanica (Malayan pangolin) is the source of this 323-nucleotide non-coding RNA. The record is from RefSeq and is a predicted model, not a curated record. NCBI's taxonomy places the organism in Eukaryota, Metazoa, Chordata, Mammalia, Pholidota, Manidae.
GUUUAAUAUUUCAUUUCUAGGGCAGGAAGAAAUUAACUUAUAGAGAUUCAAGAUCUUAACAUUUGAGAAGGGCUAAGAAAACUCCACUCGUUAUACCUGUCUUUUUGCCACUUCAUCCAUUUGCUGUCACCUAGUAACACACAGGCUUUGCUGUUUGCCACCUAUACCUGGCCUAUUUUGAGAAGUAAAGAAAGCUACAUUCAAGGAGCUUAUAACUGAAGAAGAAAUCACUGGACUUCACUAAGUGUGAAAUACAGACUCUGAAAAUUUUAACUCGGAGUAAGGUUUUCCUCACUGUGGCCAAACCAAGAGGAACAUGUUAG